This 901-nucleotide long non-coding RNA is filed under the name Equus caballus (horse). Its description in RNAcentral is "lncRNA (ENSECAG00000051494.1)". Lineage: Eukaryota; Metazoa; Chordata; Mammalia; Perissodactyla; Equidae. The record is from RNAcentral.
GGAGAUGGAAGGAUACUGGCAUGGAGGAGAUGAGACAGAGGGAUGCUGGCAUGGAGGAGAGGAGAUGGGAGGAUGCCGAGAGGUAAUACAGGACCUGGAUAUGCAUUGCUGUUGGGAUGGAGGAAUCCACCAAGCUGCUGGUUUCCCUCCAUGCAUGGAUCGCAAGGCCGUUUCCUGAGACAGGCACCGGCGCUGGGCCAGGUUGGUGAGGAAGGUCAGAAAAUCAGUUGUGAAUGUGUUGAGUUCUGGGGGCUGCAAGACCACCAAGCAGAAACAGCACAUGGGCAGUUGUACAUAUUCGGUUUGGGACUCAAAGGAGGGACUGUGACCACGGACGGAUUUGGGAGUCUCCGGGUGUAGGAGGGAGAUGCCCACCUGAGAAAGCAAGCUGAAUAUACAGAAGAGACAAUCCAGCAGGAAUGUUCCUGAACUAGUGGCAGGAGAGGAGACUCAAAAAAGAAAACAAAACUGGGUAGGAAUCAGGCGCUCCUCGUAUGCCAUCUCUAGCUGGCAGACGGACCCCCUGUGAGGACCCGUGUUGCUGUUGAGAAGAUCGUGGAUCCGUUCCAGCAAGUCACCAGAACUGGAAUUCAGCAGAAUUGAUUCCUGAUACUACCACUUCCUUCCUUCUCAAAAUUUUUUUAACUCGGGGGAAGUCCAGUCCAAAAUAGUAGUUCCCAUUUAUUGAGGACUUGUCCUGUACCGGUCUGUGCCAAUUAAGCAUAUUGUACACAGUUAGUCCUCAACUCUGCAAGAUGCCAGUAGCAGCACCCCCUCCUCCCCAGUUGUGACAGCCGAAAAUGUCACCAGACAUUGCCAGAUGACCCUGGGGAGAGCCAAAUCGCUCCACUUGGGAACCGUGGCUCCAGAGCUGGGGAACAGAAGCCACCGCUUGCCUGAG